RNAcentral lists this ribosomal RNA (1497 nucleotides) under uncultured bacterium. Its description in RNAcentral is "16S ribosomal RNA". It matches the Rfam family "Bacterial small subunit ribosomal RNA". The record is from RNAcentral.
AGAGUUUGAUCAUGGCUCAGAUUGAACGCUAGCGGGAUGCCUUACACAUGCAAGUCGAACGGCAGCACGGACUUCGGUCUGGUGGCGAGUGGCGAACGGGUGAGUAAUGUAUCGGAACGUGCCCAGUAGCGGGGGAUAACUACGCGAAAGCGUAGCUAAUACCGCAUACGCCCUACGGGGGAAAGCAGGGGAUCGCAAGACCUUGCACUAUUGGAGCGGCCGAUAUCGGAUUAGCUAGUUGGUGGGGUAACGGCUCACCAAGGCGACGAUCCGUAGCUGGUUUGAGAGGACGACCAGCCACACUGGGGCUGAGACACGGCCCAGACUCCCUACGGGAGGCAGCAGUGGGGAAUUUUGGACAAUGGGGGAAACCCUGAUCCAGCCAUCCCGCGUGUGCGAUGAAGGCCUUCGGGUUGUAAAGCACUUUUGGCAGGAAAGAAACGUCAUGGGUUAAUACCCCGUGAAACUGACGGUACCUGCAGAAUAAGCACCGGCUAACUACGUGCCAGCAGCCGCGGUAAUACGUAGGGUGCAAGCGUUAAUCUGGAAUUACUGGGCGUAAAUGCGUGCGCAGGCGGUUCGGAAAGAAAGAUGUGAAAUCCCAGAGCUUAACUUUGGAACUGCAUUUUUAACUACCGGGCUAGAGUGUGUCAGAGGGAGGUGGAAUUCCGCGUGUAGCAGUGAAAUGCGUAGAUAUGCGGAGGAACACCGAUGGCGAAGGCAGCCUCCUGGGAUAACACUGACGCUCAUGCACGAAAGCGUGGGGAGCAAACAGGAUUAGAUACCCUGGUAGUCCACGCCCUAAACGAUGUCAACUAGCUGUUGGGGCCUUCGGGCCUUGGUAGCGCAGCUAACGCGUGAAGUUGACCGCCUGGGGAGUACGGUCGCAAGAUUAAAACUCAAAGGAAUUGACGGGGACCCGCACAAGCGGUGGAUGAUGUGGAUUAAUUCGAUGCAACGCGAAAAACCUUACCUACCCUUGACAUGUCUGGAAUUCCGAAGAGAUUUGGAAGUGCUCGCAAGAGAACCGGAACACAGGUGCUGCAUGGCUGUCGUCAGCUCGUGUCGUGAGAUGUUGGGUUAAGUCCCGCAACGAGCGCAACCCUUGUCAUUAGUUGCUACGAAAGGGCACUCUAAUGAGACUGCCGGUGACAAACCGGAGGAAGGUGGGGAUGACGUCAAGUCCUCAUGGCCCUUAUGGGUAGGGCUUCAACACGUCAUACAAUGGUCGGGACAGAGGGUCGCCAACCCGCGAGGGGGAGCCAAUCCCAGAAACCCGAUCGUAGUCCGGAUCGCAGUCUGCAACUCGACUGCGUGAAGUCGGAAUCGCUAGUAAUCGCGGAUCAGCAUGUCGCGGUGAAUACGUUCCCGGGUCUUGUACACACCGCCCGUCACACCAUGGGAGUGGGUUUUACCAGAAGUAGUUAGCCUAACCGUAAGGGGGGCGAUUACCACGGUAGGAUUCAUGACUGGGGUGAAGUCGUAAACAAGGUAACC